CCAAAGAGCGGCAGAGGAGGUGAGCAGAGUGCUGUAAGGAGGUGGAGCAUAUUGGUGCUGGAGCUGACUUGGGCCAGAUGAGCAGUGACUAGUGGGCUGAAGUAGCAGUUAUUUUUCAGGUGUUGCAUUGCUGGCUAAGUUAAAGGUAUCCUUUGUGUUUUCCAGGUAGGGCACAAGCUUUAGUGUGGCAAUAUGUAAAUGGCAGAGGGGGCGAGGACGAGUGGCUGAGGUGCCGCAGGGAGCCUCGGAGGGGCAAAGCCACAUGCUGAUGAGCGGUCCGAGAAGGAGUCACGUGGCCACUGUUGGAACUGGAUGCCCAUUGGAGUAUUACCACAAGAAUCACCCAAAUGAAUGAAGGAUGAACUUUGAUGAAACUGAGCAAAGCAUAGCAAUGAUGGAACUAGAACUGACUUCAGGGACUGGUGCCCAGCAAGUUCCUUGAAAUCAACAACUUUGAGGUCCGACCCUGAGCAUGGACCACACCAGCUAUGCCAGAUGUGAGCUUCAGAAGCAGCCACAACAAUCCAACAGUGUACAGCAUUGCUCCUGACCCGAGAGACUGUUAGAAGAGAUGGAGCCCCAAGUCAUGGACUAAAUGAACUCAAUGGACAUUUUAGAGGCAUGGCCCAUAGCCUAAGGGAAUGAUAUCUGUGUGUCUAAUUUUUUUAUAUAUAUGUAAAAGAGAGGGAAAGUGGUGGUGAUUAAUUGGAAGUGUUGGAUGAGGGCAGGAUGUAGAUGGUUUAGAAUAAA
This is a long non-coding RNA of Grus americana (Whooping crane), 750 nucleotides long. RefSeq lists it as uncharacterized. The record is from RefSeq and is a predicted model, not a curated record. Lineage: Eukaryota; Metazoa; Chordata; Aves; Gruiformes; Gruidae. The transcript is spliced from 4 exons.